RNAcentral lists this ribosomal RNA (501 nucleotides) under uncultured bacterium. Its description in RNAcentral is "partial 16S ribosomal RNA". It matches the Rfam family "Bacterial small subunit ribosomal RNA", at positions 30 to 523 of the family's 1533-position model. The record is from RNAcentral.
AUUGAACGCUGGCGGCAGGCUUAACACAUGCAAGUCGAGCGGAGAGAGGUAGCUUGCUACCGAUCUUAGCGGCGGACGGGUGAGUAAUGCUUAGGAAUCUGCCUAUUAGUGGGGGACAACAUUUCGAAAGGAAUGCUAAUACCGCAUACGUCCUACGGGGGAAAGCAGGGGAUCUUCGGACCUUGCGCUAAUAGAUGAGCCUAAGUCGGAUUAGCUAGUUGGUGGGGUAAAGGCCUACCAAGGCGACGAUCUGUAGCGGGUCUGAGAGGAUGAUCCGCCACACUGGGACUGAGGCACGGCCCAGAAUCCUACGGGAGGCAGCAGUGGGGAAUAUUGGACAAUGGGCGCAAGCCUGAUCCAGCCAAGCCGCGUGUGUGAAGAAGGCCUUAUGGUUGUAAAGCACUUUAAGCGAGGAGGAGGCUACUUUAGUUAAUACCUAGAGAUAGUGGACGUUACUCGCAGAAUAAGCACCGGCUAACUCUGUGCCAGCCGCCGCAGUAA